Molecule: ribosomal RNA, 503 nt
Filed under: uncultured bacterium
Lineage: Bacteria
Description: partial 16S ribosomal RNA
Rfam family: Bacterial small subunit ribosomal RNA
Source: RNAcentral
AUUGAACGCUGGCGGCAGGCUUAACACAUGCAAGUCGAGCGGGGUGAUGGUGCUUGCACUAUCACUUAGCGGCGGACGGGUGAGUAAUGCUUAGGAAUCUGCCUAUUAGUGGGGGACAACAUCUCGAAAGGGAUGCUAAUACCGCAUACGUCCUACGGGAGAAAGCAGGGGAUCACUUGUGACCUUGCGCUAAUAGAUGAGCCUAAGUCGGAUUAGCUAGUUGGUGGGGUAAAGGCCUACCAAGGCGACGAUCUGUAGCGGGGCUGAGAGGAUGAUCCGCCACACUGGGACUGGGAAACGGCCCAGACUCCUCCGGGAGGCAGCAGUGGGGAAUAUUGGACAAUGGGGGGAACCCUGAUCUAGCCAUGCCGCGUGUGUGAAGAAGGCCUUAUGGUUGUAAAGCACUUUAAGCGAGGAGGAGGCUCUUUUGGUUAAUACCCAAGAUGAGUGGACGUUACUCGCAGAAUAAGCACCGGCUAACUCUGUGCCAGCAGCCGCCGUAA